RNAcentral lists this small nuclear RNA (61 nucleotides) under Antrostomus carolinensis (chuck-will's-widow). RNAcentral's name for it is "Caprimulgus carolinensis (chuck-will's-widow) U4 spliceosomal RNA". It matches the Rfam family "U4 spliceosomal RNA", at positions 1 to 61 of the family's 138-position model. Rfam says of the family: U4 small nuclear RNA (U4 snRNA) is a component of the major U2-dependent spliceosome. The structure of U4 snRNA from yeast and human has been reported. The record is from Rfam by way of RNAcentral. Lineage: Eukaryota; Metazoa; Chordata; Aves; Caprimulgiformes; Caprimulgidae.
AGCUUUGCGCAGUGGCAUUAUCGUAGCCAAUGAGGUUAAUCCGAAGCGUGAUUAUUGCUAC